RNAcentral lists this ribosomal RNA (273 nucleotides) under uncultured bacterium. Its description in RNAcentral is "partial 16S ribosomal RNA". It matches the Rfam family "Bacterial small subunit ribosomal RNA", at positions 524 to 796 of the family's 1533-position model. The record is from RNAcentral.
UACAGAGGUCCCGAGCGUUGUUCGGAUUCACUGGGCGUAAAGGGUGCGUAGGUGGUGAGGAAAGUCGGAUGUGAAAGCUCCGGGCUCAACCCGGAAAUGGCAUUGGAAACUACCUUGCUGGAGGAUUGGAGGGGGGACUGGAAUUCUCGGUGUAGCAGUGAAAUGCGUAGAUAUCGAGAGGAACACCAGUGGCGAAGGCGAGUCCCUGGACAAAUCCUGACACUGAGGCACGAAAGCUAGGGGAGCAAACAGGAUUAGAAACCCCCGUAGUCC